CGGCGAGCGAAAAGGGAGGAGCCCAGCGCCGAAUCCCCGGCCCACGGUCGCGGGAAAUGUGGCGUUUAGGAGUGAGCGUGCCGGGUUCGACGGCGGCGGCAAGUCCCCCUGACCGGGGCCUGUCCGUAGCGGGUGCGAGGCCCAUAGCCGCCGCCUUCGUCUCGGAUGCGAUCUCCUUGGAGUCGGGUUGCUUGGGAGUGCAGCCCUAAUCGGGUGGUAAACUCCACCUAAGGCUAAAUACCGCCGUGAGACCGAUAGCAAACAAGUACCGUGAGGGAAAGUUGCAAAGAACUUUGAAGAGAGAGUUCAAGAGUACGUGAAACUGCUCAGAGGUAAACGGGUGGGCCCUCGAAAUCCUGUGGCGAGAGGAUUCAGUCUGGAGGGUCGGACGCGGACUCGGAAGAUCGAGCAGGGCUUCCCGGUACCGGGGCCGUCCGAGACCGCGACUUCCGCCUUUUCCAGACGCAUUUGUCUCUCGUCCGAAGGACGCUGCAGCCGGUCUGGCAGUGCAAGCGCGACGGCCUGAAGGUCGGGAACCGGCAGGUGGCCGGCGGCACGCCUCGUGCGGGCUGUCGGUUGUUAGCCAUCCCGUCAGUGGCCCGUCGCCAGACCGAGGUGUCGCGAGUCCCUUUCCGGGACUCCUCGUCUCCACCACGUCAGUUGCGGGACAGGACGCGGCAAGGGAACCGUGCCAGCCCCGUCGCACUCUUACGGAGUGGGCGGGGGUGCUCGGGACCCCGUUGGCCGCGACGGACCCGUCGUGGGACCGGAGGCUGGCAGCGAGUAGGUCGGUCACCCACCCGACCCGUCUUGAAACACGGACCAAGGAGUCUAACAUGUGCGCGAGUCAAUGGGUCUUGACUAGGCCCAGGGGCGCAAUGAAAGCGAAGGACUGCCCAGCGCAGUCUCAGUGGGGAUCCCCCGCCUUAGCCGGUGGGGGCGCACCCACGACCCGUCCUAUCCGGCUCGCCGGUUGGGCGGAGUCUGAGCGUACACGUUGGGACCCGAAAGAUGGUGAACUAUGCCCGGACAGGACGAGGCCAGAGGAAACUCUGGUGGAGGUCCGCAGC
Molecule: ribosomal RNA, 1070 nt
Filed under: Thiratoscirtina sp. small black, litter MRB211
Lineage: Eukaryota; Metazoa; Arthropoda; Arachnida; Araneae; Salticidae
Description: eukaryotic LSU rRNA
Rfam family: Eukaryotic large subunit ribosomal RNA
Source: RNAcentral